AAUUAUACCGUGAAACUGCGAAUGGCUCAUUAAAUCAGUUAUCGUUUAUUUGAUAGUACCUUACUACAUGGAUAACCGUGGUAAUUCUAGAGCUAAUACAUGCUAAAAACCCCGACUUCGGAAGGGGUGUAUUUAUUAGAUAAAAAACCAAUGCCCUUCGGGGCUCUUUGGUGAAUCAUAAUAACUUAACGGAUCGCAUGGCCUUGCGCCGGCGACGGUUCAUUCAAAUUUCUGCCCUAUCAACUUUCGAUGGUAAGGUAUUGGCUUACCAUGGUUUCAACGGGUAACGGGGAAUUAGGGUUCGAUUCCGGAGAGGGAGCCUGAGAAACGGCUACCACAUCCAAGGAAGGCAGCAGGCGCGCAAAUUACCCAAUCCCGACACGGGGAGGUAGUGACAAUAAAUACUGAUACAGGGCUCUUUUGGGUCUUGUAAUCGGAAUGAGUACAAUUUAAACCCCUUAACGAGGAACAAUUGGAGGGCAAGUCUGGUGCCAGCAGCCGCGGUAAUUCCAGCUCCAAUAGCGUAUAUUAAAGUUGUUGCAGUUAAAAAGCUCGUAGUUGAACCUUGGGCCUGGCUGGCCGGUCCGCCUCACCGCGUGUACUGGUCCGGCCGGGCCUUUCCUUCUGGAGAUCCCCAUGCCCUUCACUGGGCGUGCGGGGGAACCAGGACUUUUACUUUGAAAAAAUUAGAGUGUUCAAAGCAGGCCUUUGCUCGAAUACGUUAGCAUGGAAUAAUAGAAUAGGACGUGCGGUCCUAUUUUGUUGGUUUCUAGGACCGCCGUAAUGAUUAAUAGGGACAGUCGGGGGCAUCAGUAUUCAAUUGUCAGAGGUGAAAUUCUUGGAUUUAUUGAAGACUAACUACUGCGAAAGCAUUUGCCAAGGAUGUUUUCAUUAAUCAGUGAACGAAAGUUAGGGGAUCGAAGACGAUCAGAUACCGUCGUAGUCUUAACCGUAAACUAUGCCGACUAGGGAUCGGGCGAUGUUUUUAUCUUGACUCGCUCGGCACCUUACGAGAAAUCAAAGUUU
This 1026-nucleotide ribosomal RNA is filed under the name Preussia minima. Its description in RNAcentral is "SSU rRNA". It matches the Rfam family "Eukaryotic small subunit ribosomal RNA", at positions 72 to 1106 of the family's 1831-position model. Lineage: Eukaryota; Fungi; Ascomycota; Dothideomycetes; Pleosporales; Sporormiaceae. The record is from RNAcentral.